Molecule: long non-coding RNA, 1002 nt
Filed under: Heterocephalus glaber (naked mole-rat)
Lineage: Eukaryota; Metazoa; Chordata; Mammalia; Rodentia; Bathyergidae
Description: lncRNA (ENSHGLG00000045537.1)
Source: RNAcentral
GUCAUAAAUAAACUUUAUUGACUUCUGUCUGAUUGUUUACAAUCACUGAUCAGGUGACACUGCUCCACUGACAGUUGGUACACAGUUCUGUCCUUCUGAGCUUUGAGUGGUUUUUUGUUUGUUUUUUUACAAAUAUUUACAGUCUUUGUAUAAAAAGGCAGUUUUUAACAGCAGAAAAUUCUUCUUUUUCAUAGUAUGUGAUUACACUUGCUAGUAGAUCCAAAACAUCAAGAUAAUAUACAGACUACGGCAACUUCCUUUGGCCUUGGGAAAAGAUUCACCCCCACCCCCAAACAUCUAUCUUCUAAGGCAAUUGGUUUCUAAAUCCUUCAAAGUCCACAAAUACACUUUAGUGUCUUAAAUGUUCAUAGAGAAGUCCCUUUUAAUUAUACCUUUCAUGGAUGCCCGCUUUCUCCUUGAAAGAAUUCAGGAAAUGUUACUGGCCAUAUUAUAACCUAUUUAUCAUAACUGUGCCUUCAAUAAAUAGUUCAUAAAAUACUAAGGCUGGUGACAUUUGUCUUGUAACCUAUCUAGUGGGGUGGGUUUCUUAUUGCAGUUAUGUACAGUGAUAACCUUCCAAGACCUAAAUAUAUUAUAUAUAUUGUCUUCUGUACCCUUUCAAAUGGGGCUUGAGAGAAAACGCCACCACCUCAUGCUGUAAUGAUUUAAUAAUAAAUCAAGCAGACCUCUUACCCAUGUGGAUAACGAAGCUCUCCCUAGGGAAACUAUGAAAUUGCUCUGUUCGUCAUCCAGGUUCCCCUAGACUGGGCCAAUAUAAAAGAAUCCCAAAGAUGAUGUUAUUCAAGCCAUUACCAUGAAAGAACUAAAGUCAGCCCUUUGAAUUUAUAACUUAAGGUUCCAAAACUACAAUACCUUCAAAGAAAACAAUUUUCUUGUUACUAUCAAAAGUUUCUGGCAGACUUUAGUGUUUUAACCUAUGCCUAUGGAAUAUAUUCACAUGCUAAAUGCUCUGUAAGUAAUUUUUUACAUAGAGUAUAUAAU